This 270-nucleotide ribosomal RNA is filed under the name Clostridioides difficile. RNAcentral describes it as "partial 16S ribosomal RNA". It matches the Rfam family "Bacterial small subunit ribosomal RNA", at positions 1 to 278 of the family's 1533-position model. Lineage: Bacteria; Bacillati; Bacillota; Clostridia; Peptostreptococcales; Peptostreptococcaceae. The record is from RNAcentral.
UUUUAUUUGAGAGUUUGAUCCUGGCUCAGGAUGAACGCUGGCGGCGUGCCUAACACAUGCAAGUUGAGCGAUUUACUUCGGUAAAGAGCGGCGGACGGGUGAGUAACGCGUGGGUAACCUACCCUGUACACACGGAUAACAUACCGAAAGGUAUGCUAAUACGGGAUAAUAUAUUUGAGAGGCAUCUCUUAAAUAUCAAAGGUGAGCCAGUACAGGAUGGACCCGCGUCUGAUUAGCUAGUUGGUAAGGUAACGGCUUACCAAGGCGACG